GUAGGUGGCAAGCGUUGUCCGGGAAUUAUUGGGCGUAAAGCGCGCGCAGGCGGUUCUUUAAGUCUGAUGUGAAAGCCCACGGGCUCAACCGUGGAGGGUCAUUGGAAACUGGAGAACUUGAGUACAGAAGAGGAAAGCGGAAUUCCACGUGUAGCGGUGAAAUGCGUAGAGAUGUGGAGGAACACCAGUGGCGAAGGCGGCUUUCUGGUCUGUAACUGACGCUGAGGCGCGAAAGCGUGGGGAGCAAACAGGAUUAGAUACCCUGGUAGUCCACGCCGUAAACGAUGAGUGCUAAGUGUUAGGGGGGUUUCCGCCCCUUAGUGCUGCAGCUAACGCAUUAAGCACUCCGCCUGGGGAGUACGGCCGCAAAGGCUG
This 375-nucleotide ribosomal RNA is filed under the name uncultured organism. Its description in RNAcentral is "partial 16S ribosomal RNA". It matches the Rfam family "Bacterial small subunit ribosomal RNA", at positions 527 to 896 of the family's 1533-position model. The record is from RNAcentral.